This 797-nucleotide small RNA is filed under the name Malus domestica (apple). RNAcentral describes it as "sRNA MD15G0075600". The record is from RNAcentral. Lineage: Eukaryota; Viridiplantae; Streptophyta; Magnoliopsida; Rosales; Rosaceae.
AUGAUAAAUCAACCUAGACAAGAGAUUUUUUGCGUUUGUUUAUGUCUGAUUUGCACCGAUUUUGGUCCUAUCUAUUUCUGAUUUUGUUUUCCGUUUGAGCACCGGUUGUUUUUGCAUCGCUGGGAAGUUAAUUUUCUACAACUGAGGUGUGUUUUCUAACUGCUGUGUUUUGAUUGUUAUUCUGUGUUUUGAUUAAUUUUGGAUGGAAUUGUAACCGUUUGGUUUUGGGUUGGCUCUGUUCCUGUGCUAGAGUUUUCCUGGCUAACAGGAUAUUUUGCGCUUUGGUUCCUUGCUUGGUCAGUCUCAGAUUUACUGACGGUUCCGGCGGUCCUGUUAUUUUUUGGAAAAUCAGGAAUUUGAACAUCAGCUUGUGACUUUGCCGUCGAUUUGAACGCCACCAGCUUCGAUGCAGUCCUUGGAGACACCCCUGCCUCCUCUGCCAUAGUCGAAUUCUUUGCUCACUGGUGCAAAACGCCAUAGAGUAUUUAAACGUCAUCGGGGCCUUGGAUGAGAAUGAGAAUCUGACUGUUUUAGAUAUUUCAGAAUUUCAAAAAGCAGGUGCGGUUUGAUCAAUUAAGGCCAACCUGAUUUACAGGGGUCUGAUUAGUGGUACACUACUAAUUACCUCACUUUUCUCCCAAGAGUAUGCUGCUUUUUCCAAAAGGAAAAUAUUAGCUUGGUUUGAUCUCUUAUUGAAUUGUGUAGAUUUGGUUUGAUCUCUUAAUUUGUGUUGUGCAAAUUUUGUAUGAAUUAAUUUGGGUUGGGCAGAGGAAGCAAAUAAUUUUUUAAAUUAAUAA